This is a long non-coding RNA of Oreochromis aureus, 2712 nucleotides long. The record is from Ensembl. NCBI's taxonomy places the organism in Eukaryota, Metazoa, Chordata, Actinopteri, Cichliformes, Cichlidae.
GAAAACUUUACCUUUGGCUCUGUUAAGUCAUUUUUUCCCCCUAUUCAGUUUCCAUUGUUUAAGACUGGGGCUGAUCUUUCCAAUAUUGCUGCUAAUCUAACUUCAAAGGGAUGCCGGUAUGUUAAAACACUUUUUAAUUGUGAUAAGGAAUACGCUUUCAUGCUUAAACCCCUUCUCCUCUGUUCAUCUGGACAGAACCCACAAAUGCAGAGGCUGUUUUUUCACUGGCAAUUAAAAUUAGAAUUGGUCACAUUUUUCACUGUCAGCCAUUUCCUUUGCACACAAAGACAUGCGGGCCAUACAAGCGUGCGCGUACAGACAUAUGCAAACCCAGAUACUACCAUACAAUACACAUGGUGUUUUUGCUCAAUUGAACCAUAUCUAAAAUAGCUUGCAUGAAGACCAUUAAAGAAGAAAAAAAAAUCCUCCUCAAAACUAAAACAACCCUUAAGACCGUGCGGGUCUGGUAGGGCUGAUGAUUCACCACAAGCUUCCCUGUUACUUCUAUGAGACAUGCGAUGCAGGCUGCGCCUUGUUGUCCAGAGAUAACAGAUUAACAUGAUUGCUGAGUGAAUCAUUUGCACUCUAGUGCUUUUGACAUGGAAGAUUCUUGAGGCUUUGAUACUUGCACAAUAUUUUGAAGCAGUGGAGCAGUAAGAUGUAAUUCUGUUGUGACAAAAUCAAUUUGGAUAAAAGCACAAUGUAAAAAGCAAGAGUGGCAUGAAAAUGAAGUAUUGGUUACAGCUGAUAGGGAAAUUGCCUAUUUUGCCUCAGAGCUUAGAAUAUGAGUACAUCUUCAUUUUUUUGUCAUCAGAAGAGUGAAAAUUUGAAGAAGGGGAAAAAAACAAAUAUACUGUUCUUGCUGCCCAACGCAGUCACGUGAUGGGUUUUUGUGUUUUAGGUCCAGGAUGCAUUUAAAUGUAAGUCUGUAAUGUAAAUGUACCUUAAGAAGCGAUAAAUAUGCACCCCAACAAAUCAAAGUUUUUUAAAAUAUACAUGAAGUAGCUCAGAGUUCUGCGAGAAUAGUUGUAGUCUGGAGAGAUGUGUCCUUAUGUCUUUGCUUAAGGCCCAUGUUGAACAGGGACAUUUGUCAUACUUAAAAAUUAAAUUUCCUCUGUUGCAGCUUAUAUGAUAUGUGAAAAAGUGUAAGAGGUGGGUCAGUGGAUCCUUCUUUUCAAGGUUCAUCAAAAACUCUUCUAGUGACAAAGAGCUGUUUUUUUCCACUAGAACUCCAUGAACAACAGAAUCUGUCAGUAAGAAAAUACCAGUAAUUUAUCUGACCCUUGCUGAGCAAGCAAGACACAAACUUGCAGAAAUACGAUGUAUUACUGCUCCCCCUACAGUCAACUCACAGUUAGACAGAUAGCCACUUAUAUUUGAGUGGUGAUGAUGUGUCUGUUUGUCACACGAAAACAGACACACACACAGACACAAAAAAAAAUCGGCACAGUCCUGUGACCACCCACCAAACUUCAGCUUGUACCAUCUCCUGUAGGCUGCAAGAAUGCUGGAAAGACAAAGGCAGCACUUUGGACAGCUGAGGCAGGUUCAGGUGUGGGCCAAUAACUUGCCUGUAGUGGAAAAGUCCUUUUGUGACUUUGCAGUCGAGACAGGCAGCUCUGUUCUUCGCUGCAGCAGCACUCACAUUUCACACUCAGUUUGAACAUUUGCAGUAUGUCAAAAAUCCUGACUGAGUGUCUCGCUGACAUGACUUAGACAAGGAUUUGUUUCUGCAUUUGAGGAACAAAUUACUAGUGACGGCACAGAAGCAGAACCUUCUUGAAUCCAUGUCCACUCCGUCUAGAUUCUUGUUUUUCAGUCUGAACCAGUUAUGUGCAUGUGCGGUUGUGUAUGUGCUUAAGUGUGUUCAUGUCUGUGCUUGUUUUCCUGUGAGAUUUAUUUGCAUGUGUGACUGCGCGUGUGACCCAGUGUGGCUGCGUGACCCGAUUGUGAGUCUACAGUACUCGGCAGAGUGAGUGAGUGCUGAUCUACACAGAAGCUUACAGGAAACUGAAGAAGACGGGUGAGGUUAAAGAGGACAGCACGAUGGAAAAAACAAGAAUAAAAGCAGUCAGUGUUAAAUAUUAACCUUUUUGGAACAUUUUGAGCAUUUUCAUCAGUAAAAGUUCUCAUAUAUAGCUGUUUGUCAUCGCCUUCAACUGCAAGAAUUUGAUUUUAAAAAUAAGGGUAUCGUGUAGCGGUUUGAGAGUCUAAGUUAGAACCUUAGAAUAUGCAAUCACAUCUGUAAGAGUUACAUUUCGCAGCUCUUUGUAUCACUGACUGCAAAAUAAAGUUUGAUAACAAAUCUGUAUUUGUGUUAUUACUAUGUUGUAUGGAAAUGAAGAAAAAAAAAUAAUGACAGCACUUUUUAAAAUGCUUUUUUGUAAAUCUGUUUUAUAAAAAACAAUAUGUCUGCACAAGGGCCUGUAAUUAAAAGGGAAAAGGGCCUCAGUGUGGCAUUUCCUGUGUGCUAUAGGAACAUCACUGUGGAUUUUAUGUGAAACAUUCAGAAGUGGUGGAUGUCACAACAGUCAUAGCCACUAACCUGUGCUAGUCUGGUAAAACACGCUGAAAGCCAGUUGAUGUUGAGUCCCUCACAGGGAUGAAAGUCACUAUUGUCUAUGCUUCUGUGCACACGUCUGUGUGCGUGUGUGCGCAUGUGUGUUUGUCUGCCCUUACACUGAGCUGAAGAGAAAGUAGUUUCAAAGGGAG